UUCACGCUCUUCUAAACAUUCUGAAUUAACCUACGGAUUUCAUCCAGCACCCAAAAGCUUCUAGACUUCCAAAUCCACCUUUUUAAAAGCCUGUCCGGGCCGCUUAAGCAAACAAACCGAUGCCUUACUUGAACUAGGACGAGCCAUUUCCAAGCAAAACUUCUGUCUCUUUGCCGACGAAGCCUUAAGCCCGCAGUGCGCUUGGGAAACCAGCCUUCUGGCGGUAAAUUGGAAGAGACACAUCGAGGAAGUACCUCCACCUGGGGAAAAGAAAAGAAGACGAAAAAGAAGCGGCCUAUUUCGGGGCGCGUUAAUUUUCUCUGCAAGCUGGCCGGCAACGGAGCUCUCCACAAAGAACCAGAAAAAGCAGAAGCCGCUGCAUCUCCUGAAUGGCAGAAGACGUUUCCUCCUGUCUUAGGAGUGGCUGAUGAGCCUUGAAGCACAGAACUUUUCCGUUUCUCUGAAGUGGAAGAUGCCUGACACCGUGAAGUGCUACUCCAUUUCCUUGUGGAAGCUGGUGCUUUACUGAGGCGCCCAGGACGAACAAAGACACCGUGUCGUGGUUUGCAGUGGAAGUACUCUUUGCCUUUUACAAUUCCAUCGUGCUUUCCUUCAACAAAAAGAAACGCACAGGAUUAAAUGUUGGUACUUUCAUUAGCACAUACAGUUGAGGUGCUGAAGCGUGAACAGCUUUGGUCAUCUGCAAAAUACUCAAAAUCGUUCAUGCUGAGUCAUGAGGCCAGAUGCUCACAAUACACUAGGGCGAACAAAACUUGGAAACGAGGGCUUGAAUUGUAACCAAAAAGACGAUUUUCUAAAAUAUUACUUUGUUAACUAACAGUUUAAAAAGUCAAGCACUUGUUCAUUUUACAGAAUAAACUGUCCUCCAAACCAAUUGCUUGCAAAGCUUAAAAUGUAGCUGCCAGACAAACUUCUGGUAUCAGUGAUAAUAUUUAUUAGCUAAACUACUAAAAACAUCAUCUUAACAGAACACUGCAGAACAUCUUGCAGAACACUGACUUUUUCCAACCCCUUCUGAACUGAAGUUAAAGAAAACCUGUAUCCUGGAAUUCAGCUUUCCCCACUGGAAAACAAAAAUAAACCUCUGAAAGCCACUGACAGCAAACCAGUUUGACAAGUGAUGCACGUUGUCAGCAAUGCCCAUGAAUGUGUGUGCAUGUUGCUUUUUUAAAAAAAUCUGCCCAUUUUUGGCUUUUCUUGUUUCUCUGAUCUGUAAAAACAGAUGGGUACCAAUGGGAACUACUACAACAUGCAAAAACAUUAUUCUGCAUAAAGCAAGAAGAGCAGGGCUUUAAGACAAAUAAAAGUUGAUUAGAAUAUCCCUAUAAACAGAAAGUGGAGAAUAUCAGAUACCAAACUUCAUGAAAUUGGAGAAACUUCCCAGGACUGAAUAGGAAUGAAUUGUACUGCAACUUUAAAAAUUGUUCACGCUAACUGCACAGAUAACCCAGAGCAUAUUUAGUCUUACCCAGCUGAACAUUUAGUUCAACUCCAACCCAGAUUCCAGCUGAAAAAUCCACCGUUCCAAUGUAUCUCACUGUGCCCAUCUUAUUACUUCCAACACAGACUUGCUCGCCCACAGCUACCCAGCUAGGCAAGACUUGGGCUUGAUCUGCAGAAGCACCUUCUUCACAAUCAGAACCAUCCAAGUGGUCCUUCGUAAGAAAAUCGUCUAUGGAAGUAUCAGGAUAAGUCUCAGGAUCUGAAGUCUCUUUUACCAGUACAGAACAAAAAGGGCUCUCCACAGCACCUGCAAGCCGGUCACCUGCUGCUGCUGCAGAGCUCUGCUGGCCCGCACAAGUGCUCUGCUCCUUGUCAGGACCUUGGGGUGACACUGAGGCGCUCACUCCAUUAGAGGACAGAAGGGAACAGGACUGCGGAGCCGUGGAAUGGUCAAAAUCCUUCCCAUCUUCAACGCCCAUGAACUCUGUAAAGGAGUGAUCUUCCAGAAUGUCUGUCGUGUGCUCCACUGUUACUUCGCGUGCUGAAAAUUCAAUUGUACAACAGGUAUUUUUGCUAUCCAAGGAACUCAGAGCUGAAAGUGAUCCAGUUCUGGGUAACCGCUGAGAGUCUCUGUCAGUGGCACUGAGGGACGGUGGUACUUGCUCCGUUAAGGCACUGUUUUCUUUCAGUGGUAACACUGGUAACUUUUCUUUUGCUAGCUCCUUUUCUGACUCUCGACAUUCCUUGUUCGAAGAAGAUCUUAAAUCAUGUGCAAGGAAUGAUCCUGCGGGAUCAUUAGAGUCCAGCUCCUUUGUGUGACUGGUUAGCUGGUCUGUGCUAUCACUACAGGGAACAAGCAUGUCAGACAGGGUAGCGUUAGAGGCACUGUGGGAAAAGUAGCCACUAGUAAUACUGCUAGUGGUGGGGCUGCGGGAUACCUCUUUCUCUAGAACACGUGAACUCAUGAAGUCUGAUUUAGAAGAGAACCACUCCCUGUUCUCCAGGCUAGCAUUGUAAAUACUGAAGUCAGCAAACUCCUCCGGUACAUAAGGCCGGAAAUUUUGAAAACUUUGUGGACUUAUCAGUUUCUUAUUAAUGGCCUCCAACUCACUGUCUUCCUCCUCAGAGUCCUGCAAAAGAACAGAGAGUUGAAUGGGAUUAGGAACCGAUGGCAGUGAGGUUUUCAAAAUAAGUUAACUUUCCUUGAUUUUUUUCUUUCUGAACGUGGAAAAAUAUAUACCUUUAAUAUUCUUUAACUGAAGAAUGGAAGACAGCAUUGAAAAGAGUGGCUGGGAACGUGUCCUGUCUACACUGAGCUAUUUAAUUUUUAGAAAAUAAAUUCUAAAUAGUUCAGAAAAUAUAAAACAAUAAAUGGAAAGUUAUGUUUACAUGUUUUCAUCCAUGUAUGAUAAACCUUUUACCCCCAUGAUUGCAACUAAUUAAACCUAUUGAAGGCAUUCUAUAGAGCUAAUUGACCACCUAACAAGAUAAAUAUAAAUAUGAAUGGGAGCCACAGUCUUUGCUUCAAUACCCAGGUUUCUGUUAAACUGAUAUCAGCAAAGCUAAAUAACCUUGUUUACCUGUGGCUAUCAUACCUGAACGCAUUCACAAUGCUUGAAAAUAAAGGCAAAAUUAUCAAAUACUACAGUGAAUCUUCAAGGAAGCAUUUGUGUGCAUACAUGUACAUGUCUGGAGGAAAAUAAGUGACACUAAUCAGCCUGGCAGAAUUUGGAGAUACCUCCUUGAAUUUCCCUUUGAUAAUGAGUGGGAAUGCACUGUGAGCAGACCCACAGAUGUGGCUUUCACAGAGUCCAUCAGAAGCUGAGGACUUCAGUCUGUAAAGAUGCAUCUGAGAAAGACCCCAGCAACAUGGUGGUGCUGCUCCCAUGAUAGAAAAUGCUGCAGGCAGGACUGCACAUGGAUGCUUUUUUAAGUUCUUCCUUUUUCUUAUACAUAUGGGCUUAUUUACAAAUGUAUGUGUGCAGGUAUAAACAUACAUAUAUGUAUACACACAUAUACGUAUUAAAAAUGGUUAGUUUACAGGAAAUUCCUACUAGAAAGAAUAGUAUUUUCAGAAAAAUGAAAACUACUGAAGUACUUCAGAGAAAUUCAAGGUCCUAUUAUAUCUCAGUUCCUUUAUCUGCAUCAUAGAUUUCAAACACUGAUCAAGGCACAUCCUGUGUGGUACCUAAAGUAGUUUGAUGCUUUCAGGCACCUGCUAUGAAUCACCAGUGUAAAAGGAAAAGCAUAAUAGUUAACCAGAUGACCACUGAGAACCAACGCAUCAGGAUAAACAGCCUCUUGAAAAUGUUUAUGAUACUUCGUAAUAGCCAAGACUGUUCAAAUAACUUUGUAUGACAAGGCCUCAUAUGAGCAGAAAAAAAGCAGGUUUGUUCAGUUUGCCCAUGUCAGAAUAAUGACAAAAUUGUUUAGGCUGGAAGGCAUCUCUUGAGGUGAAUUAGUCCAAUCUCCCACUGCUCAAGCAGGGGUCAGCCAGAGCAGACCAUCCAGAACAGUGUCCUGUUGGAUGGGUUUUGAGAUCUCCAAGGAUGGAGACGCUAUAACCUUCCUGCACAACUCAUGCCAGUGUUUGACCACCCUCACAGUAAACAAACUGUUUUCUUGUGUUCAGAUGGAAUCUUGUGUGUUUUGAUUUGUGCCCAUUGCCUCAUGUCCUGUCACUGGGCAUUGCUGAGAAGAGUCUGCCUUGUCUUCACCCCCUCCCCACCAGAUGUGUUUUGAAUACUCUAGAAAAGCUAAGAACAGAUCUCAGAGAAACAUGAGAAAAAGGCCCAACAUCAUUCUUACACCUACUUAGAUGCAGAACAUCAAUCUAGUUAAUAUUAUUAGUUUCCUGUAUUUUAGUUGCUUUACUUCUAUGGCAUCUUUUAAAUGCUGUAAGAUGCAAGUGAGCAUCCCACCUGAAGCAACACCAAUCAUCCAGUUUUAGGAGUAUGACUGAGGCUCUGUACCUUGGAGCAGUCAUUUACAGUAUUGAUUAAUGAUGUGAAAACUUCACUUUAGAUCAGAUAGAGAGGAGCAGACAGCUGAAGUUUCAUGUGGAGCUGUGAUGCUGCCCUGAUGUAAUCCUUGAACUCAUUCUGAGAGCACUGUUCAUCCAAAUGUAUGACAGAUAUGCUUCAGCCCAGUUAAAACAUAAGACUUGCUCCAGCUCUGAAAAACAUGGGGUAGCCGGCGAAGCCUACAUUCCACAAAAGCUUCUUUCCUAAAGUGAUAAAAAAACCCCAGAAGCCAUCAUUUGGUAAACACAACGCCAUAAGCUGUCAGGGUUACGCAGAGCAGCCGUCUCAACCUCCUCCCCACUAGUAGCUGCUAGUUCUUGCCUGUCUUUCCAGUACCCACUCAAGGGUCUAUAAGGUGAUGAGACAGAGGGCUAGAUCCAAAUGAAAUAUAACUCCAUGAUAGUCUAGACAUCGACCGGAUGGAUCAGUUCCCUUGAUCUGACUCCCUAUGCAACCAAACAAAAAGCUGUGUUCAUGCAAGGGAGAAGUCAGUGCAAAGGUUGGAACAAGCAGCUGAGAACUGAAAGAACAGCUCCUUCCAGGGUCCUGUUUGCUACAGCAGGUUUACAGCGUUCAGUGAAUUAGUUCCAUUCUAGUUGGAAAAGCCUGGUGGCAGGAUGUUGCCCUUUUCCAGCUCUGAAAGCCUCUGCAUAUCUUUGGAAAGCAGCACAAGCAAAUACCUGGGUUAAUUCAGGGCAUGUACGGGGUAGGACUUUGUUUUCACUCAAGGGAUUAAAACUGCCCUCAAGUUGCUAUGGAAAUUUUUGUAACAAUUUAUUUUCCAGGGAAUGUUUUUUCAACUCUUUAGAAGAUUUUGUCUUCCAAAUACCUUCAUGCUAUUUUGUAUCAGUGACUCAGUGCAAGUCAGCAUGUCAGCUACCUUAUGGAAAAUUAACAUGAUCAAAAAUGAAACAGCUGCCACCCCAAACCAGCAGCCAAGUUUCAAAUAUAUACACCAGAACACUCAGGACUCUU
Long non-coding RNA from Chiroxiphia lanceolata (lance-tailed manakin), 5462 nucleotides. RefSeq lists it as uncharacterized. Lineage: Eukaryota; Metazoa; Chordata; Aves; Passeriformes; Pipridae. The transcript is spliced from 3 exons. The record is from RefSeq and is a predicted model, not a curated record.